Molecule: unclassified non-coding RNA, 200 nt
Filed under: fungal sp.
Lineage: Eukaryota; Fungi
Description: partial internal transcribed spacer 2
Source: RNAcentral
UUAAGUUCAGCGGGUAUCCCUACCUGAUCCGAGGUCAAAAUAAAAAAGUAAAGCUUAUGGAGGCCACCUUAUGCUGCCAGAGACGCAAUUCUACUGCGCUCAAAGCCGCUGAAGUGGCUGCCAAUUAUUUUAAGGCGAGUCCAUGCCGACGGCAGGACAGACACCCAACACCAAGCUGUGCUUGAAGGUGAAAAUGACGC